UAGGAGACAGAGGCCAGUCGCGAUCGCCC
Molecule: small RNA, 29 nt
Filed under: Bombyx mori (domestic silkworm)
Lineage: Eukaryota; Metazoa; Arthropoda; Insecta; Lepidoptera; Bombycidae
Description: ovarian small RNA-22656
Source: RNAcentral